RNA transcript from Zeugodacus cucurbitae (melon fly), 4229 nucleotides. It is a transcript of the gene named abnormal spindle-like microcephaly-associated protein homolog, with no coding region annotated. The record is from RefSeq and is a predicted model, not a curated record. Lineage: Eukaryota; Metazoa; Arthropoda; Insecta; Diptera; Tephritidae. The transcript has 2 exons.
CACUCAUGGCAUCAUUCACAAAUUUCAAUUAAAGCAAUGUGGUCGAUUCCCAACGGAGAACAAUUGAACGUAAAAAUCAAAUCAACUAACGGGUGAAAACAUUUUGGCAUGGAGUUGCGUGUGUUGUUUCGGGCGCUAGAAAAAAGUAUUUGAGAAUUUAAAGAAGUGCUUUUGAAAAAUAAACAAAGAAGUGUGCAACUAAUUUACUUUAAAUAUUUCAUUAAAAUAAAUGCGAUAUUUUCGCUUAUGCAAUUCUAUUUCGUUGCUUUGACCUUAAAUUGCAUAAGUGCUUUUUACCCGUUUAAGUAUUAAAUAAUUGAAAAGUAGAAUAGAGUUAAAAUAGCAUAUAGUUCAAAAUGCAUAUCCAUCCAAGUUCACCCAGUUCUGAUUUUGACCAACCAAUACAAAAAGAAGAAAACGCAGCCAUCAAAAUACAAGCCGGAUUUCGUGGAUAUCGCGUAAGAAAGCAGGUGCAAAAUCAACCUAGACCUAAUGCACCAAAUUACUGUGAACAGCAAAGGCAACAGCAUAAUUCGGAGCCAUUGCAUUUAAAUAUAGGGAAUAGGACAACACCUCAAAAUAUUAACGCAGCUACAAAUUCAAAAGGUUCUAUUUUUGAAGUGGAAAGCUCUACAAAGGAAGACCAAUGCGCUACAAAAAUUCAAGCUGGUGUACGGGGUUUUUUGGUGCGUAAGAAACAGAAAAUUGCUAUGGAUGCGGCAACAAAAAUACAAGCAAGUUUCAGAGGCUUCAAAGCGCGGAAAGAGGCACACAACAUGAAACAAAAAUAAAAAAUAAUAAUAAUCUUCUAUGCCCGUUGAACACAUUCUUUAAAUUUUAAAAUAAUUAAUUUAAUUUGCAAAUUAUAAUGAAAAAUAUUCGAUUGUUACUCCACCGCAUACUAAAUAGGAGUUUUUAUAUUCAAUGAUGAACAAACUAAACGGAAAUGAGAGAGUUAUCAGCACUCACUGCUUAAGAUUUUUGUAUGAUUUACAGUAUACAAAUGUACAUAUAAACAUAGUGAGUUAAAAAUAACUACGAAACUUCAAGUGUGCGAAAAUCAGUCAUCGGGAGUUCUUUUUAUUAUUAUUCAAAGAAUUAAAUACAAAUUUGUUACAUACAACACAGUGCUUGUUUUAUGUUAGCGUUUUUUAGACUUGUUUAAAAUAAAUUUCCUUUCGCGUAAGUGUUUUCUCUUGUGGCUAAUAACGUCAGCAAAAGUUGUUAUUGCGUUAUUUCAAUUUUAUGGACUACGUUGGAAUUAGACAAUUCCAGGAGUACCGCUUGGCUGUCUAUGUAUAUGAUUGCUGUCUGUGUCCUUUCGUAGAAUAGAGCUUCACAUGGUUUCUCUAUGCCCAGUACUUCAGCUGAGUUUGGUAGAUGGAUAGGUAGGGAGAUGUCAAGAUCAUUGGAAUAAACCCACGUGCCAGCUCCGCAGUCCAUUUUGGACCCGCCAAGAUGAUAUCUUACUAAGCCUCUUCUCCAUUCGCGUAUAGAGGGUAAUUUUGCCCGACUUUCGAGAAUGUAGUAUGCUUUCGGUUCAAACCUCCUAACUCCUUAAUUUUUAUUGCAGAACACGCUGCUAUUUUCCAAAAGUUGAUGACUAUGGGUAAUUGAUGCAGAGUACAUUAAGCGCAUCGGAAAUGACUUGCUAGCACCUUUAACUUCAUUCUAGCCAUUUCUAGCCAGCAAACCAGUGUUAAAUACGUUCCGUGUACCUCAGAGUAAAGAAAUUAUAUGUGCAUGACUUCAAACUAUUAAAAAAUUAAAAUAAAAGGCAUAGCGAAGUUUUGGUUAUUGUUUAUUUAUUUGUAUUCAUAGUUAGAUCACAGCAAAAAUAAACUGAAAUUCCUUUAGAAUAUGCGAAAAAAAUAAGAAGUAACAAGUAAGGAAAGGCUAAGUUCGGGUGCAAUCGAACAUAUUAUACUUAAUUUAUAGAUAUACUUUUAUUAAGAUAUCACACAAUUUGUCCCAUAUAUUCGGCAUAAAGUUCAAUAGAAUAAAGAAAAUCAUCAUAUAUAGUGUAUGAGGGCUGAGGUAAUUCCUGAACCGAUUUCACUUAUUUUCACCACCAACGUACACUAUAUCCAGGACUAUACGAUCACUUCAUUAUAUUAACCUAUAUAUGCGGAAUAAAGCCCACCGCGAUUUUGAAAAACCUAUAAAUAGGUAUAUUGGUGCUAGAGGAAGUUGUGACCCGAUUUUAAUAAUUUUUGGUACAGAGACACAUAAUUAGAAGAAAAAGAUUAGAUUCCCUCUGAAUUAAAUUAAAAUAUCUGAGAGAUUUAUCAAUGUUUUCGGUGAAAAAUUACCCAAAGGCGCUGAGUUCUUCAUAUUCGAUAUAACGUGCAUUGAAAAGUUAUUGUCCGAUUUCGACAAUUUCACAAGUGAUGCCACGGGUCAUAUACAAUAUUUUUGUAAAGUUUAAUUUCCCUAUGAUCAUUGGUUCCUUAUGUAUACAUUAUAAAGCGAAUAAAUCAGAUGGAAUUUAAAAUUGAGUUAAAUGGAAAGUAGUCGUGGUUGUGAACCGAUUUCGGACAUUUUUUGUCCGCGUUAUCAGGGUGUCAAGAAAGUUAUAUGUACCGAAUUUCAUUUGAAUCGGUCGAGUAGUUCCAGAGAUAUGGUUUUUGAACCAUAAGUAGGCAACGCCACGCCCAUUUUCCAUUUUGUAAAAAAAUCUAAGUGAAGCUUCCUUCUGUAAUUUCUUCUGUAAAAUUUAGUGUUUCUGACGUUUUCCGUUUGGUUAUUUUCAACCCAACCUUUGUUUGGGAGGUGGGCGUGGUUAUUAUCCGAUUUCAACUAUUUUCAUGGUGAGUGGCGGGGUACGUAAGGGAACCGACUUCAGAAUGUUUGGUUUAUAUAGCUUUAUUGGUUUGCGAGAUAUGUACAAAAAACCUAUUUGUGAGAGGAGCCAGGCCCUCUUUCCCAAAAAAAUUACACCCAAAUAUGUCUCUCCCUAAUGUGAUCCUCUGUACCAAAUUUUAGGUAGGUAGGUUUUCGGUUUUCGCCAUUUUGUGGGCGUGGCAGUGGAGCGAUUUCGGCCCAAGGAACAUGUGUACCAAGUUUCGUCAAGAUAUCUUAAUUUUUACUCAAGGUAUCCCUUGCACGAACAGACGGGUGGACGGACGGACAGGCAGACAUCCGAAUUUUGACUCGUCUCGUCACCCUGAUAACAUAUAUCUAAUUCGUUUAGUUUUAUGAUUUACAAACAACCGUUAUGUGAACAAAACUAUAAUACUCUCUUAGCAACUUUUGUUGCUAGAGUAUAAAAAUAUGGUUCAUAGAAAAUAUUUAUAUGUGCAUGUUAAAAAAUUGUUAUGCCCGGUUUCACAGUCAGUGCUUAGGUUGUGCUUAAGAUAAAACAGAAGUAUUGCGUUUUACAGUUCAUACUUAAGUUCUGCUUAAGUACUGAAAAUGGGAGACUUAAGCAGUGCUUAAGUAACAGCUGAUUUUUGUUUUGAAUAUUGACUUAUUUGUCAAAAAAAUAAAAUAAAAAUUAUUUGCUGAAACAAUUUUUGGAAUUUCAGCAUUCAAUGACGGUUAUAUGCUUUCCUGCGAGUUGCAAUAGGUGCCCCCACUCGCUUGCGGUGAAAUUCGGUGUCCUUUUAUUGUUUCCAUCCAUUUCCCAGAUUCUAAAUUUAUUCGUCGCAGUUAUUUUUCAUCAACAAUAAUUUCAAUUUGUCAGAUGGUAUUUGUAAACAAAUGUUUUUCAUUGUGUUGCCAUAUAUCAUAAUAGAAUUUUAUAGAAAAUAAGCAUCGACUGUGAAACGCAAAUGACUACUCAGUCAACAACAAUGCUUAGCUAAGAUUUUAUUUGGGCACAACUUAAGUACGAACUGUGAAACCGGGCAUUAGUUUUUCAAAUAUUUUGAUGAAUUAAGGUUGUCAGUUAUUAAUAAGCUUUUUUUAUGAAUUUCGACUUGAUUUAGACGUGAUGGCAUUGAAUCAAACAAACAUUUUAGCGUGGUCAUGCUGAUUUAAAUAUAUUUUCGCUGUAUUGCCAUUUUUAAUCUUUUGCGGUAUUAUAUUGGUGUCCAUUUAAACUAACCUUAGCGGAUAAACUUCCUCACAGAUCGACAAUAGGGCUCAAAUCCGGAUUUUUUGCUAGCCAGUCCAAUUUUUUCCAUUUUUUUUAAACGUUUUAGUAUGAGUUGCAUUGUGAAUUGGAGCAUUGUCUUGCUGGAAAGUCCAAUUAUCCCCAUAAAUUUCUCCUGGAAAUUGAAGUAAUA